GGCUCUUUGAUUAGUUUAUAUAAAGAGUUGAACCUGCCCGGUGAUAUAUAUUUAACGGCCGCGGUACUCUGACCGUGCAAAGGUAGCAUAAUCAUUUGCCUUAUAAUUGAAGGCUAGUAUGAAUGGUUUGAUGAAAACAAAGCUGUCUCUUUUUAAUUUUUUAGAACUUGAUUUUUAGGUGAAGAAGCCUAAAUAUAAUUGAAAGACAAGAAGACCCUAUCGAGCUUUAAAAAAUUUUAUUAAAAUAAAAGUUAUAAAAACUAAUAAUAAUAAAAAAUUUUAGUUGGGGCGACUAAGGAACAAAAAAGCUUCCAAUCUAAUACUAAUAACAUAUUGGUUUUGAUCCAAAAUUUUUGAUUAAAAGAAUUAGUUACCGUAGGGAUAACAGCAUAAUCUUUUUUGAGAGCCCUUAUCGAAAAAAAGGUUUGUGACCUCGAUGUUGGACUAGAAUAUCCUAAACGGCGCAGAAGUCUUUAAUGGUUGGUCUGUUCGACCACUAAUAUUCUACGUGAUCUGAGUUCAGACCGG
Molecule: ribosomal RNA, 528 nt
Filed under: Hemistomia rusticorum
Lineage: Eukaryota; Metazoa; Mollusca; Gastropoda; Littorinimorpha; Tateidae
Description: partial 16S ribosomal RNA
Rfam family: Bacterial large subunit ribosomal RNA
Source: RNAcentral